GAUGAAGAACGUAGCGAAAUGCGAUAAGUAAUGCGAAUUGCAGAAUUUCCGUGAGUCAUCGAAUCUUUGAACGCAUAUUGCGCCCUUUGGUAUUCCGAGGGGCAUGCCUGUUCGAGCGUCAUUAUCACAAUAUCAAGCUAGGCUUGUUGUUGGGCCCUUUGUCACCUGGUGACAGGUCCAAAAGACAAUGACCGGUGUCAUACAGACUCUAUAUGCAACGAGCUUAUAACAGCACGCAUCUGGUGGUCAUGUGGCCUGGUUCUCACCUCUAUUUUUCAAGGUUGACCUCGGAUCAGGUAGGAAUACCCGCUGAACUUAAGCAUAUCAAUAAGCGGAGGA
Molecule: unclassified non-coding RNA, 339 nt
Filed under: soil metagenome
Description: partial contains 5.8S ribosomal RNA, internal transcribed spacer 2, and large subunit ribosomal RNA
Rfam family: 5.8S ribosomal RNA (bases 1-121)
Source: RNAcentral